GCGAUACAAACUGCCAUUAAACUCCGGAAUUCGACACCCUUGACACAAGGAAAGAAGAGCAAAGGGGGGAGAGAGAGAGAGAGAGAGAGGUGAAGCAAAUGAUUGAACAUAUCAUCAAGAAAAGAUUGAAGAGUGAAGAACAAAUGAACGUGAUUAUGAACCGCCGGCGGGUAGUGGCGGCGUGGGCCAUAGCAAGGGAGUCAGCUUUAACGGCAGAGUCGGUGUGGUGUACAGGCAGUCUCGUCAAUCCCUAUCAACUCUGAUGUCUAAGUAGAAUUUUACUCUAUUAUUUCGUACUGUGCCAGGUGUUUUCUCGAGUCUUGUGUAUGUCGGCACAGAAGUUUUUGUUUAUUUAUUUAUCCUGUGACCGCUGUGUUAGCGGGGUACCCAUAGUGCAUGCAUGUCUUGAGCUUUGCUUCCGCUGUUCUUAUUUUUUGUGUAUGCAUGCCAGGGUGGUCUUUGUCUGGUGUCUCAUUCUUUUCUCCUCCCGUAGGCGCUCCCGUUCGGGUAGUCCGGGCGGCUGGGAUAUCCGGGCGGGGGUGCUUACAGU
Long non-coding RNA from Diospyros lotus (date-plum), 550 nucleotides. RefSeq lists it as uncharacterized. The record is from RefSeq and is a predicted model, not a curated record. Lineage: Eukaryota; Viridiplantae; Streptophyta; Magnoliopsida; Ericales; Ebenaceae. The transcript is spliced from 3 exons.